This 317-nucleotide ribosomal RNA is filed under the name uncultured eukaryote. Its description in RNAcentral is "partial 18S ribosomal RNA". It matches the Rfam family "Eukaryotic small subunit ribosomal RNA", at positions 1470 to 1796 of the family's 1831-position model. The record is from RNAcentral.
CCCUUAGAUGUUCUGGGCUGCACGCGUGCUACACUGAUUAUUUCAACAAGUGUUUUAACUGGAGAGUUCGCGUAAUCCUGAAAUGUUAUCGUGAUGGGAGUAGAGUAUUGUAUUUGUUAAUCUUUAACGAGGAAUUCCUAGCAAGUGUAGGUUUAUAAGUUGUUCUGAUUACGUCCCUGCCCUUUGUACACACCGCCCGUCGCUCCUACCGAUUGAAUGUUCCGGUGAGCUCUUCGGACUGCGCGGUCUGCAGUUUCUGCGUUCCGUGCGGAAAGUUGCGCAAACCUUAACAUUUAGAGGAAGGAGAAGUCGUAACA